This 427-nucleotide ribosomal RNA is filed under the name uncultured prokaryote. Its description in RNAcentral is "bacterial SSU rRNA". It matches the Rfam family "Bacterial small subunit ribosomal RNA", at positions 355 to 774 of the family's 1533-position model. The record is from RNAcentral.
CUAAGAAUAUUCCGCAAUGGACGGAAGUCUGACGGAGCGACGCCGCGUGGAUGAAGAAGGCCGAAAGGUUGUAAAGUUCUUUUGCUAGGGGAGAAUAAGUGAGGGAGGGAAUGCCCUCAUGAUGACAAGGACUAGCGAAUAAGCCCCGGCCAACUACGUGCCAGCAGCCGCGGUAACACGUAGGGGGCGAGCGUUGUUCGGAAUUACUGGGCGUAAAGGGCAUGUAGGCGGCUUGGUAAGCCUGGCGUGAAAGACUGCAGCUUAACUGUAGGGAUGCGUUGGGAACUGCUUAGCUUGAGUUACGGAGAGGGAGCUGGAAUUCCGGGUGUAGGGGUGAAAUCUGUAGAGAUCAGGAAGAAUACCGAUGGCGAAGGCAAGCGUCUGGCCGAUAACUGACGCUGAGGUGCGAAAGUGUGGGGAUCAAACA